CUGAUUGAGCUUCCCUAGUCGUCUGUCGCUGCAAUGGAUGGGCGGAUUGAUGUGGUCGCUGAGAUCUGCAGCAGCAGUCACGAGAUAAAUGAGCUGCUACCUUGCCUGAUCCCCUCCCUGGCUCCACCCUUGUUUCUCCACCCUGGCUCCGAUGGAUUUGCUGGUUGUAUUGGAACGGAAGGAAGGCGUCUCUCUCCCCCCUAGAUCCAGCCUCACGGGGAGCUCAUGGCAUGAUAGUGUUGGGCUUCAUCGGCGCUAGCAAAUCGGCACAGCGUGGUGUCGAGAUCCCCUUCCAUUCCCCGAUCUGGAUCGCCGGAGUCGAGAUGUUAGGAGGCAGAGAUCAGAAAGAGUGGCAAAAUGGUUAUCUGUUGUUUGUUGUUCAUGACUCGAUUUUAUGUUGAAUUCGUGGUCCAUUGUCUUCGAUUGAGGCAUGUUAGGGUUCAAUUUUGGGGAUUCCUAAUCAACAUGUAUUUGUUGUCCGAAUCUGAUGGCAGGUGGUGUCUGGCAAGUGAUGUUUGCUUCUUUUACUGUCGGUGCUGCUUGCUUAUUUAUUCUUGUUUAUGUGUGCUGUCUCAAUUUAGGAUGGAUUGGUUGUGGCUGUAUGGCACAUUUUGUUAGCUAUUAUAGCUAGUUAUAAUGAUUCAUGGCUUCAUGCUUUAUUGAUGUAGUAUAGUGGUGCCUCUAGUAACGGGUUCACUAAUUUUAUUGGUGAAGAUAUGGAUAUGGUUUGGCAGGACUGCAGGACCAUGCAAGUAUCCAUGCUUUAUUGUGUCUGUAGCCUGAUUACACUCAAUCUAGAGUAGCUUUGUUUGUAGUUCUCAACAUAAUAAGUUUUCAAAUUUGAUUAAUGAGAGAGGCACUAUACUUUGACCUCGAAUCCACUUGUGAGAAAUUUGUUUAUUACAAAUUAUUUUGUGUUUCUAUUUGAAGCAAUUUUUUAUUAAACUCGAGACAAAAUGAUGGAUGUCGAGCACUAGCAAUCUAGCAUCAUUCCUAUGUUAAACUCAUUUCUAUAUUUUGGACUAGACUUAUGCUGUUGUAGCCUUGUAGGUACCAAUUACUCUUAAUUCAAUACACCUGUUCACAUAUCACUUAUCAAUGUCAUCUAUGGGAACAAACUUGUUGCAUUUGUCAUAGCCGUCAGGUUAGUGUUGGAUCUGGCUGUCACGGCUGCUGCCUCCUUGCCAUUUGGUUGUGUUUGUCACCUUUUGAGCUUUUCCAGAUCGAUCUGUUCAUCAGCUGCAGCACAAGACGUGGACAUACACAAACUUACACUCGAUGUGAGGCUUCUAAGUGCCAUACUCCAGAUACUCAAUAUGUGUACUGUGUUUGUGGAGGUGGUGUCCAGCACCCAGAUGUUUGAUGCUGUUUUCAAGGAGUGGGAAAUGUGAUUUGAAAGAUGUAGUCAAUACAGUAGCACUGACAUUCUUCUGCAAGCGCAAUAUUUUCCCUGGUAAAUCACCAGUAAGACGUACCAGAUUAUUGGUACCAGUGUUGAAACUCUAACUUUCUUGUCUGUCCAUUCUUUUCCUCGAUAUUGACAUGUGAUUUUCACAUUGUAUUAUAUUUGUGAGAUAUAAUAGACAACCUGUAUAGUACAUUCAUUAAUUUUUCAAGUGUUGCGGUGCUCUUGUUUCUUCGUGUAUACAUUUCCUGAAAGGUUUGGGAGCUAGCAGCUGUGCUCGCCAAGUGCUUGAUAAAUUCCAUAUUUCCAAGCGGCAGGAGACAAGUAGGCUACUUGUUGAUUGGAACUAAGAGAGCGGAUCAAGCCAUACUUUUUGCGACGCAUGAAAAGUGAAGCAUUCCUUGAUAGUGGUGCAUCAGAAGAAAAAACAUUAGCAAAGAAGAACGAGCUAAUUGUCUGGCUGAAGUUAACGGCUUGCCAGAGGAAGUUGUAUGAAGCUUUUCUAAAAAAUGAGUUGGUUCAUUUAGCUGUACAACCAAAGGGAUCACCACAGGCUGCAAUCACAGUGUCUUGGAAGAGAUGGAUUAAAUGCUCUGAAUGAUCGAGACAUAGGAAUGGUAGAAAAAAAUGGCCAUGAACCUUGCAGAUAUGGCUUAUGACGAUGCCGCACUAGAAGUUGGUCUGGAUGUCUCAUGCAAACUAUCAAUCAUCAUGUCCUUAUUGCGGAAGCUUUUCAAAGAGGGGCAUCAUGUUUUAAUCUUUUCGCAGACCCAUAAAAUGUUGAACCUUAUUCAGAAGGCCAUAUUAUUAGAGGGCUACAAGUUUUUGCGCACUGAUGGCACAACAAAGGUUUCUGAUCGGGAAAGGAUUGUGAAGGAUUUCCAAGAAGGUCCUGGAGCUCCAAACUAACCACACAAGUUGGUGGACUUUGACUUACAAUUACCAAGGCAGCACGUGUCAUAGUAGUUGAUCCUGCUUGGAACCCAAGUGUAGACAAUCAAAGUGUAGAUCGUGCUUACCGGUUUAGCCAGACCAAAGAUGUGAUUGUAUACCGCUUGAUGACAUCUGCAACCAUUGAAGAAAAGAUAUACAAUUACAGGUUCACAAAUAUCAGUUCUUACCUGCUGGUUUGUUGUAGCAAUUAUUAGGAGUAUGAGCUUUCUAUAAUGGUUUUACAUGGUGAAAAUUUUCUUACAUCCUUUUGUUUCUCUCUGCAACAUCAUAGACCCUACUACUGAAAUUUGAUUUCUAGGCGUAGAAUCCGCUACUGUUUUUUGUUGAUGUGAAUGUAACUUGUGUACUGGAUGUCCUUUUUACCAUGCUGUGCACACAACUCUUCUUUUUUCAUGGAUUUCUCCAGCUUUGUGCUUC
Long non-coding RNA from Panicum virgatum (switchgrass), 2776 nucleotides. RefSeq lists it as uncharacterized. The transcript has 11 exons. The record is from RefSeq and is a predicted model, not a curated record. Lineage: Eukaryota; Viridiplantae; Streptophyta; Magnoliopsida; Poales; Poaceae.